This is a non-coding RNA of Manis javanica (Malayan pangolin), 696 nucleotides long. NCBI's taxonomy places the organism in Eukaryota, Metazoa, Chordata, Mammalia, Pholidota, Manidae. The record is from RefSeq and is a predicted model, not a curated record.
UUUUUUCGCCUCAUAUAUCUCAGAUUGGGUGCUGGAGAAAUGAGCAACCUGGAAACGCCAGUGGGCACAGACCAAAAGAAAAUUCUAAUCAAACACCACAGGAAAAACUGCAACCUCAUUUCUACCCAUCUCCCUCCCAGCCAGAGGAACACGGGCUCCCGCCUUGACCACAAGUAACGAGAGAGGUGCUAGCUUAUUUUCUGCUGGGAUUCCCCCCUCGGAGGAAGGUCUGCCCUCAGCCGGCACUCAGGAUGCCUUCACUGAUUCAGAUCAUGAUGGUGACGGAUACUAUCCAGGCACUUCUCUGGAUCUGGACGGUGCCUGGAAAGCUGACCUGCAUAGCAAGCUCCCUUGCCCUACUGCUUAGGGUUGGUUCCAGCCAACGGGGAGCCACAGAGAGACUCUGCAGGGCCAGGGAGGGCCUGCACAGAACUGCAUCCAUCCUCCUGCCCCUUUAGGCCUGGAGUGAUCAUCACUUGCUAUGUGGCCAGCCCAGGGUGCUUCACUGCCCCACAGGGUAUGGGGGUUUCCCAUAACCCUGCCCUCGACUUGGUGAAUGAGCCAUCCAGUCAAACUCUGCUCAACUUCCAUCUGUGUGUCUCACCUCUUUCCCGCUAGGAUCCUGACAUCCAAUGACUCAUAUCUUCUUCAGAAGGACAUUUAGCCCAUUUGACAAUAAAAAUUGAAUUGUCAUUA